GAUGAACGCUGGCGGCGUGCCUAAUACAUGCAAGUCGAGCGAACAGACGAGGAGCUUGCUCCUCUGACGUUAGCGGCGGACGGGUGAGUAACACGUGGAUAACCUCCCUAUAAGACUGGGAUAACUUCGGGAAACCGGAGCUAAUACCGGAUAAUAUAUUGCACCGCAUGGUUCAAUAGUGAAAGACGGUCUUGCUGUCACUUAUAGAUGUAUCCGCGCCGCAUUAGCUAGUUGGUAAGGUAACGGCUUACCAAGGCAACGAUGCGUAGCCGACCUGAGAGAGUGAUCGGCCACACUGGAACUGAGACACGGUCCAGACUCCUACGGGGAGCAGCAGUAGGGAAUCUUCCGCAAUGGGCGAAAGCCUGACGGAGCAACGCCGCGUGAGUGAUGAAGGUCUUCGGAUCGUAAAACUCUGUUAUUAGGGAAGAACAAAUGUGUAAGUAACUGUGCACGUCUUGACGGUACCUGAUCAGAAAGCCACGGCUAACUACGUG
RNAcentral lists this ribosomal RNA (497 nucleotides) under uncultured bacterium. Its description in RNAcentral is "partial 16S ribosomal RNA". It matches the Rfam family "Bacterial small subunit ribosomal RNA", at positions 28 to 507 of the family's 1533-position model. The record is from RNAcentral.